GCCGCGUGAGUGAUGAAGGCCUUCGGGUCGUAAAACUCUGUCCUCAAGGAAGAUAAUGACGGUACUUGAGGAGGAAGCCCCGGCUAACUACGUGCCAGCAGCCGCGGUAAUACGUAGGGGGCUAGCGUUAUCCGGAGUUACUGGGCGUAAAGGGUGCGUAGGCGGUCUUUCAAGUCAGGAGUGAAAGGCUACGGCUCAACCGUAGUAAGCUCUUGAAACUGGGAGACUUGAGUGCAGGAGAGGAGAGUGGAAUUCCUAGUGUAGCGGUGAAAUGCGUAGAUAUUAGGCGGAACACCAGUUGCGAAUGCGGCUCUCUGGACUGU
This 323-nucleotide ribosomal RNA is filed under the name Clostridioides difficile. Its description in RNAcentral is "bacterial SSU rRNA". It matches the Rfam family "Bacterial small subunit ribosomal RNA", at positions 396 to 737 of the family's 1533-position model. Lineage: Bacteria; Bacillati; Bacillota; Clostridia; Peptostreptococcales; Peptostreptococcaceae. The record is from RNAcentral.